GACGAACGCUGGCGGCGUGCUUAACACAUGCAAGUCGAACGGAAAGGCCCUGCUUUUGUGGGGUGCUCGAGUGGCGAACGGGUGAGUAACACGUGAGUAACCUGCCCUUGACUUUGGGAUAACCUCAGGAAACUGGGGCUAAUACCGGAUAGGAGCUCCUGCUGCAUGGUGGGGGUUGGAAAGCUUCGGCGGUUGGGGAUGGACUCGCGGCUUAUCAGCUUGUUGGUGGGGUAGUGGCUUACCAAGGCUUUGACGGGUAGCCGGCCUGAGAGGGUGACCGGCCACAUUGGGACUGAGAUACGGCCCAGACUCCUACGGGAGGCAGCAGUGGGGAAUAUUGCACAAUGGGCGGAAGCCUGAUGCAGCAACGCCGCGUGCGGGAUGACGGCCUUCGGGUUGUAAACCGCUUUCGCCUGUGACGAAGCGUGAGUGACGGUAAUGGGUAAAGAAGCACCGGCUAACUACGUG
This 468-nucleotide ribosomal RNA is filed under the name uncultured bacterium. RNAcentral's name for it is "partial 16S ribosomal RNA". It matches the Rfam family "Bacterial small subunit ribosomal RNA", at positions 28 to 507 of the family's 1533-position model. The record is from RNAcentral.